AGGACGAACGCUGGCGGCGUGCUUAACACAUGCAAGUCGAGCGGUAAGGCCUUUCGGGGUACGCGAGCGGCGAACGGGUGAGUAACACGUGGGUGAUCUGCCCUGCACUUCGGGAUAAGCCUGGGAAACUGGGUCUAAUACCGGAUAUGACCUCCUAUCGCAUGGUGGGUGGUGGAAAGAUUUAUCGGUGCAGGAUGGGCCCGCGGCCUAUCAGCUUGUUGGUGGGGUAAUGGCCUACCAAGGCGACGACGGGUAGCCGACCUGAGAGGGUGACCGGCCACACUGGGACUGAGACACGGCCCAGACUCCUACGGGAGGCAGCAGUGGGGAAUAUUGCACAAUGGGCGAAAGCCUGAUGCAGCGACGCCGCGUGGAGGAUGACGGCCGUUCGGGUUGUAAACCCCUUUCAGCGUAGGACGAAGCGCAAGUGACGGUACUGCAGAAGAAGCAACGGCUAACGUCGUAGCCGAGCACGCCGACGGUAACUCGUACGGAGUCGGGCCGU
RNAcentral lists this ribosomal RNA (505 nucleotides) under uncultured soil bacterium. Its description in RNAcentral is "bacterial SSU rRNA". It matches the Rfam family "Bacterial small subunit ribosomal RNA", at positions 33 to 541 of the family's 1533-position model. The record is from RNAcentral.